UUUAAUUCAUUAGCCAAUACAAUCACAUACCGUGUAAGUAAGACAUAUAUAUUAUUUGUAUUUUCCUUCCAUUUGAGACCACAUAGGCCUAAUACAAUACCUUCAAAUGGUAAGCUAACCGCCAGGGGGCGUUGCUGGAGAAGGUAGAGGAGCUGAGUGAACAACUGAAACAAGAGCGACAGAGCGCGCUGACACUGGAGGGACAGCUCACCACUACUACUCUUUCUAAGCAAGCCCUCGAGGAGGUACUGCAACGAGUCUGCAAGUAGUGGUGGAGGAAGUGGGUAGAAGUUGUCCCUCCCUACCCAUAAAUACAGGGUCAGACACUUCUAACUUUAUACUAUUCUAUUCAGUUCCAAGAGAGAGUGUCAGACCUGGAAGGAGAUAAGAAUCUACUGAAGGACAGCUAUGACACACUCCUGGAGAGAACCAAUGGGUGUGCCUGAGUCUUAAACCUCUCAACUAGAUGCAGACCUGAAGACAUUCAAGCAGCACUUUGAGAGCAAGCAUCCCAAGUCUCCAAUGGUCCCAGUACUGGUUGGGCAGGCUUAAGUGACCACACAUUCUCAAAUGGACCUACAGCUGGAGUAAGAUUCUUCCAUCAUUCACACACAGUAGACAUAAUGUAAGCUGUCCUCAAUGCUUAAGUUGUAUUGUCUAUGGCUCAAUUUGUGGAAAUGCUGUGAUCGCUCGUCUUUAAUGUUGUGAUUCACAGACACACGAUGACCAUGAUUUGAAUGCUGCAAUUGAGACGGAAUGACAUAGAGGGACACACGCUCAGACCCUGAGUGUGACUGGACAUGGGCCGGAUAUUUGUGACAACGACUUAAAAGGGGUGCAGAAGCACACCAGCACCCCAUUUUAUGUUUAUUCCAUGGCCAACCAUCUCUCUAGCUACCCUUUAUUCUACACUAUGCCUUUUAUGACCCAUGAUCCCUCAACUUCGGACACUUUGGAACUCUCAAUCUUAUCUCUAUAAACCUACCCUACCUUUACCCAUUUUCUAUAUGCUGCUUCCUUAACUUGUUCUUCUCCUGAUUUGAUAACACCUAGACUGAGUAAUACGUUUAAAAGUGUUGUGAUGUACUGUUUUUGCUAUCUUUUUUUCACCUGUGUAAACCUGUCCUGCUUAUUCUGGGGUUCAGACUGAAUGCAGUGGUAAAUGUACUGCUUACAAUUGACAGCAGCAACAUGGACCUGUUAAAUUGACAAGAAGGGUGUUGAUUUACAGUAGCUGCGUUUAGGCAUGGCCUCCUUGUUUUGAGUCUGUUAAGUGUGUUUCUCAUUCUGCUGGAGUUGACCUAGUAUUUUAUAUAAAACCUACCGUAAGCAUCCAGUUUCCAUUUUUAACUCACCCACAAAAGCACAAUAUGCUGUUUUACAUUUUGUGUUAUUUGAACUGGUCUAAUUCCUAAAAUGGAAAAGCAGAAGAAUCUGUGCGCUCUUGGAUAGUAAUAAUAAUUCAUAUGGUGC
Long non-coding RNA from Coregonus clupeaformis (lake whitefish), 1473 nucleotides. RefSeq lists it as uncharacterized. The record is from RefSeq and is a predicted model, not a curated record. NCBI's taxonomy places the organism in Eukaryota, Metazoa, Chordata, Actinopteri, Salmoniformes, Salmonidae. The transcript is spliced from 3 exons.